This 203-nucleotide ribosomal RNA is filed under the name Faucicola osloensis. RNAcentral describes it as "partial 16S ribosomal RNA". It matches the Rfam family "Bacterial small subunit ribosomal RNA", at positions 1330 to 1533 of the family's 1533-position model. The record is from RNAcentral. Lineage: Bacteria; Pseudomonadati; Pseudomonadota; Gammaproteobacteria; Moraxellales; Moraxellaceae.
AAUCGCUAGUAAUCGCAGAUCAGAAUGCUGCGGUGAAUACGUUCCCGGGCCUUGUACACACCGCCCGUCACACCAUGGGAGUCUAUUGCACCAGAAGUAGGUAGCCUAACGCAAGAGGGCGCUUACCACGGUGUGGUCGAUGACUGGGGUGAAGUCGUAACAAGGUAGCCGUAGGGGAACCUGCGGCUGGAUCACCUCCUUAA